Molecule: long non-coding RNA, 1918 nt
Organism: Medicago truncatula (barrel medic)
Lineage: Eukaryota; Viridiplantae; Streptophyta; Magnoliopsida; Fabales; Fabaceae
Exons: 2
Source: RefSeq, a predicted model, not a curated record
CCUUGAAAACCGCGAAGUGUUUGUUGCUUCUGAAAAACACAGUUACUCCAAGCUGGCCAACUCCAAUGAAGGCGAACCCUAGGAAAUUCAUGCCAUUGAAGUUGCUCUUAGGAUCGAUUCCACUGCGAUUUCUCAUACUUGCAUGUCUGUUUUCGGAUUAAGAUUUGCCAACUUUAGGGAAGGAUAGUCACCAUAGUCUCACCUAUAUUACUCUCUUUCAUCUUAAUUACCAUUUCUAUCAUUUUUAACUGCAGUUCGCCGGGCGGGAAAAAUUUAAUUUAUGAAUUUUUGGGACAAAAUUACGUUGGUACCCUUAUGUUGUAAAACAUGCAUGUACCAUACAUUGCUCGCAAUGUUGGAGGAUGGAAAUUUCAAACCUGGUGCAUCACGUUGUUUAUGCUCAUAGGUGAUGAUGAUAACUCCACAUUGGACGGUGCAUACUGCACAAGAGGUGACCAAUUGAUGCAAGCUUCUCUUUUCUUCCUUUCCUUCUAUACAAGAGAAACAAUCACCACCAACAUAAAGGUGUCUUCUCCCUCACACUGUUUUCCCCUUCUUUAUCGUCCUUCCCCUCACCUCCUUCUCCUUGCCACCAUCCAAUCUUCUUCCCUUUCUUCUCUGAUUUUUCAAAUUCCGUCUGUUCAAAUUGUGAAACCUUCCCAAACCUUCUAAUUGGCUUUCGGUGGGAAGAGGAACCGCAGAAAAAACCAGAACAGUGACGGAAACCGAAAUGAAGGAACUGCUCCGUCCUUCGAUGAGUAAGAACAAAGAAAAACGAUCUGAAAUUCAUGCUAAGUCGAAAGCUCGCGAUGCUGCUAUUGAAAGAGCUAUCGAGCUCGGUGAAGAGGUUCACUCUCUCUCACUGAAUGGAUGUUGUUGUUUUGAUUUUUUUAUUUCUGUGUUGUUGUAGCUUCCAUAGAAGAACCUUGAAAAUACAAGGGAAGUUGAUGAAACUAUCUGCAAGCCUGAUGAUGAAGAGAAUGACUUUGAGGUGGCUGUCAAAAAGAGGAACGUGAAAGUCUAUUUUACUGACGGUUGGACAUUUUUAAAGAAUUUUAUGUGCUUUUGGCUGGUACUUGGAUCACUGUCAUUUUUGCAAAUCGACACCUUUUUCUGUUUGAAGUUAGGAAUAUGCAUGGAGAUGAGUUGGUGUAUCCUCAAAGCACUCCUCCACAAAGAAUGUUGUUGCAGAACCAUAGUGCUCAUGCUUACGUAAUCCCUUCAUACCAUAUGGUUCUUCUGCCCUUUUACUUCCCACUACCUUCUUCUAUAACACAAUUGUUAAGGAGUUAACCGCUUCUGACGUUACUUUUGGAAUGUUGGUGAGUUGUAUGAUUGUCUAUAUGCAGAAUUUGAAUUGGCUUGACUUUUGUCAAUCUGCAUUUCAGGCUGAGAAAAUUGAAUUAACUGUCAUUGAUUGCCUGGAAAUACUUGGAAGUUGUUUACGGAUUUUUGUCAUGAUGAACGGUUGUCAUGUGUUUUUUCUGGUGAAUGGCAAGCAUUGUGCAGCGCGCAUAAGUUGAUUGAAGGAGCAAAGAUCAAAUUAGGUGUCACAGGAGCAGCUAACAAUAGGGUUGUCUAUCUUUGUGCGCCUCCAAUGUUGGUGCUGAGAACAAAAAUGCCUCCAUCUGCAAGCAUUGGAGAAAAUGGUCCAUCUUAUCAAUUUAAGCAGUAUUUCUGGAAGAAUUAGUAAUAGUAUUAAUUAUGCCACUUCAUAUUUUUGUUUUCAAAGCAUUAUAGAGUGGUUCUAUUCUGAGUUGAGAAAUGUACUCUUUUGGUUGUGUGUACUUUUUACCACUUUAGUGAUUUGAUGAUAAAGUAAUUAACAAAUUGUGAGAUGUACUCUUAUUAUUUGCCUUGUGUACUUUCUGCUACCAAGUUGGGUAUUGAGGAAAUAUUAUCAUUAUCUUUGGUAUGA